GCCUUCGUGGUGUAGUGGUCAGCACGCUCGACGCGUAACCGAGAGGUCCGUGGUUCGAUUCGUGGCGAAGGCU
Molecule: non-coding RNA, 73 nt
Organism: Stegodyphus mimosarum
Lineage: Eukaryota; Metazoa; Arthropoda; Arachnida; Araneae; Eresidae
Source: Rfam